Molecule: ribosomal RNA, 513 nt
Filed under: Triticum aestivum (bread wheat)
Lineage: Eukaryota; Viridiplantae; Streptophyta; Magnoliopsida; Poales; Poaceae
Description: partial small subunit ribosomal RNA
Source: RNAcentral
AUGAACUACGAAACAGUCGCUCACAAGACGGCAGCACAGACCUCUGCGUAUCGCCUUCUCCUCUGCAUCCUCACAUAUAGCAUAGAGAAAACAGUUUCUUGCGUCCUCUCUUUUGGUCACAAGAAAGAGAUGGGUUCAGGUUCAACCACCGUCAGACUCAUGGCCUUCGCCUCCGCUCUCGUGCUACUGACGCACUGCAUUCACGCGGCAGCGGCACCAAGCUUUCAGCAGAAACAGGCGGCGGCCAAGACGUGGUGCGUGGCCAAGCCUUCGACCGGCGAGGCGGCGCUGAGGGCCAACCUGGAGUUCGCCUGCUCCGAGAGCGACUGCAGCGCGAUCCAGGGCACGGGGGGCUGCUCCGCGCACAACGGCGGCGUGCUGCUGUCGCGGGCGUCGGUGGCCAUGAACGCCUACUACCAGGCCAGGGGGAGGAACACCUGGAACUGCUUCUUCAACGCCACCGGCAUCAUCAGCAUCACCGACCCCAGUCUAGGCACUUGCAAGUAUGCAUGA